This 792-nucleotide ribosomal RNA is filed under the name uncultured bacterium. RNAcentral's name for it is "bacterial SSU rRNA". It matches the Rfam family "Bacterial small subunit ribosomal RNA", at positions 8 to 796 of the family's 1533-position model. The record is from RNAcentral.
AGAGUUUGAUCAUGGCUCAGAACGAACGCUGGCGGCGUGCUUAACACAUGCAAGUCGCGUGCGCAGUUUCCGUAGCAAUACGGAGAUGGGCGCACGGCGCACGGGUGCGUAACACGUGGGCAAUCUGCCCUUUGAUGGGGAAUAACCCGCCGAAAGGCGGGCUAAUUCCGCAUAAGAUUCCCGGAACUUCGGUUCUGGGAUUGAAAGCAGCAAUGCGUCGAAGGAGGAGCCCGCGCCCGAUUAGCUAGUUGGUGAGGUAACGGCUCACCAAGGCUAUGAUCGGUAGCUGGUCUGAGAGGAUGAUCAGCCACACUGGAACUGAGACACGGUCCAGACUCCUACGGGAGGCAGCAGUGGGGAAUCUUGCACAAUGGGCGAAAGCCUGAUGCAGCGACGCCGCGUGGGGGAUGAAGCAUUUCGGUGUGUAAACCCCUUUCGACUGGGAAGAAUACCUCGCAAGAGGGGUGACGGUACCAGUAGAAGAAGCCCCGGCUAACUACGUGCCAGCAGCCGCGGUAAGACGUAGGGGGCCAGCGUUGUUCGGAAUUACUGGGUGUAAAGGGUUCGUAGGCGGUGCGGCAAGUUGGGAGUGAAAUCUCUGGGCUUAACCCAGAGGCUGCUUCCAAAACUGCUGUGCUCGAGUGUGAGAGAGGCUCGUGGAAUUGCAGGUGUAGCGGUGAAAUGCGUAGAUAUCUGCAGGAACACCCGUGGCGAAAGCGGCGAGCUGGAUCACUACUGACGCUGAGGAACGAAAGCUAGGGGAGCAAACAGGAUUAGAUACCCCCGUAGUCC